Long non-coding RNA from Mastomys coucha (southern multimammate mouse), 358 nucleotides. RefSeq lists it as uncharacterized. The transcript has 3 exons. The record is from RefSeq and is a predicted model, not a curated record. Lineage: Eukaryota; Metazoa; Chordata; Mammalia; Rodentia; Muridae.
UCCCUCCCUAUGUAAACUCCUUACAGCUGGAACAGAUGCAAAAAUCCAGAGCCUUCCAAGCCAAGCUCCUGCAGAAGACAGAAGGCCUGGAAGCUGAGCUAGAUGCUUCAGGAGCAGAGGAUCUAUCAACUGCAGACCAAGCUAGGGAGCUGCCGACAAACCUGGAACACUAACCUGGCCAGCUCCGGGAGCGCCGACAGCAAUUGGUGGCCCAGCAGUGGGCAGCAGGAGGAAAUGUGCCGUGGCCACGAGGCAAGAAAUCGACUCUGACCUGCUCAUUGACACCUGGUUAAAAACAAAGACUCAGCUGGAAGAGACCGAAUUGGAGACAUCAACUUCCAAGCGCAGACCCUGAGAG